CUGGAAAGGCGCGCGAUACAGGGUGACAGCCCCGUACACAAAAAUGCACAUGCUGUGAGCUCGAUGAGUAGGGCGGGACACGUGGUAUCCUGUCUGAAUAUGGGGGGACCAUCCUCCAAGGCUAAAUACUCCUGACUGACCGAUAGUGAACCAGUACCGUGAGGGAAAGGCGAAAAGAACCCCGGCGAGGGGAGUGAAAAAGAACCUGAAACCGUGUACGUACAAGCAGUGGGAGCACGCUUAGGCGUGUGACUGCGUACCUUUUGUAUAAUGGGUCAGCGACUUAUAUUCUGUAGCAAGGUUAACCGAAUAGGGGAGCCGAAGGGAAACCGAGUCUUAACUGGGCGUUAAGUUGCAGGGUAUAGACCCGAAACCCGGUGAUCUAGCCAUGGGCAGGUUGAAGGUUGGGUAACACUAACUGGAGGACCGAACCGACUAAUGUUGAAAAAUUAGCGGAUGACUUGUGGCUGGGGGUGAAAGGCCAAUCAAACCGGGAGAUAGCUGGUUCUCCCCGAAAGCUAUUUAGGUAGCGCCUCGUGAAUUCAUCUCCGGGGGUAGAGCACUGUUUCGGCAAGGGGGUCAUCCCGACUUACCAACCCGAUGCAAACUGCGAAUACCGGAGAAUGUUAUCACGGGAGACACACGGCGGGUGCUAACGUCCGUCGUGAAGAGGGAAACAACCCAGACCGCCAGCUAAGGUCCCAAAGUCAUGGUUAAGUGGGAAACGAUGUGGGAAGGCCCAGACAGCCAGGAUGUUGGCUUAGAAGCAGCCAUCAUUUAAAGAAAGCGUAAUAGCUCACUGGUCGAGUCGGCCUGCGCGGAAGAUGUAACGGGGCUAAACCAUG
RNAcentral lists this ribosomal RNA (845 nucleotides) under Escherichia coli. RNAcentral describes it as "partial 23S ribosomal RNA". It matches the Rfam family "Bacterial large subunit ribosomal RNA", at positions 342 to 1191 of the family's 2925-position model. The record is from RNAcentral. Lineage: Bacteria; Pseudomonadati; Pseudomonadota; Gammaproteobacteria; Enterobacterales; Enterobacteriaceae.